Molecule: ribosomal RNA, 1809 nt
Filed under: Ramalina bourgaeana
Lineage: Eukaryota; Fungi; Ascomycota; Lecanoromycetes; Lecanorales; Ramalinaceae
Description: LSU rRNA
Rfam family: Eukaryotic large subunit ribosomal RNA
Source: RNAcentral
UUAAGCAUAUCAAUAAGCGGAGGAAAGAAACCAACAGGGAUUGCCUCAGUAACGGCGAGUGAAGCGGCAACAGCUCAAAUUUGAAAUCUGGCUCCUCGCGGGGUCCGAGUUGUAAUUUGUAGAGGAUGCUUCGGGUGUGGUACCGGUCUAAGUCCCUUGGAACAGGGCGUCAUAGAGGGUGAGGAUCCCGUAUGCGACCGGCGACCAAGCCCAUGUGAAGCUCCUUCGACGAGUCGAGCUGUUUGGGAAUGCAGCUCAAAACGGGUGGUAAAUUUCAUCUAAAGCUAAAUACCGGCCAGAGACCGAUAGCGCACAAGUAGAGUGAUCGAAAGAUGAAAAGCACUUUGGAAAGAGAGUCAAAAAGUACGUGAAAUUGUUGAAAGGGAAGCGCUUGUAACCAGACCUGCCGUCGGGUGUUCCGCGGGCAUUCGUUGCCCGUCUACUCACCCGCGAUCAGGCCAGCAUCGGUUCGGGCGGCCGGACAAAGACUUGAGGAAUGUAGCUUCGCUUCGGGGAAGUGUUAUAGCCUCUUGUGCAAUACGGCCAGCCGGGACCGAGGACCGCGCUUCGGCUAGGAUGCUGGCGUAAUGGUUGCAAGCGACCCGUCUUGAAACACGGACCAAGGAGUCUAACAUCUAUGCGAGUGUUUGGGUGUCAAACCCAUGCGCGGAAUGAAAGUGAACGGAGGUGGGAACCCUCAAGGGCGCACCAUCGACCGAUCCGGAAGUUUACGGAUGGAUUUGAGUAUGAGCAUAGCUGUUGGGACCCGAAAGGUACAGUCGAACCUCCCGAUACUCUGUCCUCGAGACCUAUGCUAACGUGCGUAACAGAUGGUGAACUAUGCCUGAAUAGGGUGAAGCCAGAGGAAACUCUGGUGGAGGCUCGCAGCGGUUCUGACGUGCAAAUCGAUCGUCAAAUUUGGGUAUAGGGGCGAAGUAAGCAUCCCCCUCUCCACCGAUAUCGCGGAACAAGUACUAACAGAUUUUUCACAGAGACUAAUCGAACCAUCUAGUAGCUGGUUCCUGCCGAAGUUUCCCUCAGGAUAGCAGUAACGUUUUCAGUUUUAUGAGGUAAAGCGAAUGAUUAGAGGCCUGGGGGAUGAAACAUCCUUCACCUAUUCUCAAACUUUCAAUAUGUAAGAAGUCCUUGUUACUUAGUUGAACGUGGACAUUUGAAUGUACCGUUACUAGUGGGCCAUUUUUGGUAAGCAGAACAGGCGAUGCGGGAUGAACCGAACGUGGGGUUAAGGUGCCGGAAUGUACGCUCAUCAGACACCAAGGGGAAGACUUGUGGUGUCUGGCCGGGGGGAAGAACCCCCGGCGUUAGUCUGCGAAAGGCGAGGUCUUUGACCUGUAGGGGCUGGCGGUCUCUCCGGCGACGGCCUACCCUCUGCUGACCCUGGGCCGGGGCAGCUCACAGAUCAAGCAAAGGCCGGCGGCCAAGCGCCGUUGGAGAUAUGAUCGGCCCCCGGAGGCUCACUCCGGGGAGCAAGUGCAAAAGGUGUUGAUUCAUCUAGACAGCCGGACGGUGGCCAUGGAAGUCGGAAUCCGCUAAGGAGUGUGUAGUUGUUGCACACCACAGUCAAGCGUACUAGCAUGCACCCGGGUGCAAGUGACAGCUCUUUGAUGCCCGAAGGCUCUCUCUUCACCCGAGAUUGCUACCGGCAGUGGGGUCACGUCGACCCCAUCUACAGACUACCCGGAGCUGACUGCGGGGCCCCCCUCUGGGGCUGCCGCAGGGAAGAUAUAGUCGUUGCGGGCCCCGGGAGGGGUCUUCGCGCAAGAACAACUCACCGGCCGAAUGAAUCAG